CUUUACUUAAUCAUAAACAUGAAACCUAGUCAUAUUUGACUCCAAAACAGUAACAAAACUUCUUCUUGCUUCUCAAAGCUUUGAUGGUGUAGGCAAAGUCCGUAUGAGUCUUUGGCUUUGUAUCUUCUAACAAGGAAACACUACUUAGGCUUUAAAGAUCCGGUUGCGGUUCUAGUUCUUAUACUCAAUCAUAAA
This 195-nucleotide small RNA is filed under the name Arabidopsis thaliana (thale cress). Its description in RNAcentral is "ATSL089860". Lineage: Eukaryota; Viridiplantae; Streptophyta; Magnoliopsida; Brassicales; Brassicaceae. The record is from RNAcentral.